Molecule: ribosomal RNA, 506 nt
Filed under: uncultured bacterium
Lineage: Bacteria
Description: partial 16S ribosomal RNA
Rfam family: Bacterial small subunit ribosomal RNA
Source: RNAcentral
GAUGAACGCUAGCUACAGGCUUAACACAUGCAAGUCGAGGGGUAACGAGAGGAAAGCUUGCUUUCCUUGUCGACGACCGGCGCACGGGUGAGUAACGCGUAUCCAACCUGCCCCCAACUAGGGAAUAACCUUGCGAAAGUAAGACUAAUACCCUAUAAUUUCCUCAGAUGUCAUCUGACGAGGAAUAAAGAUUUAUCGGUUGUGGAUGGGGAUGCGUCUGAUUAGCUUGUUGGCGGGGUAACGGCCGACCAAGGCAACGCUCAGUAGGGGUUCUGAGAGGAAUGUCCCCCGAAUUGCAACUGAGAACCGGUCCAAGCUCCUACGCGAGGCAGCAGUGAUGAAUGUUGGUCAAUGACCGGAAGACUGAACAAGCAAAGUAUCUUGCAGUAUCACGGCCCUAUGGGUUGUAAACUGCAUUUAUACAGGAAUAAAGUUAGCCACGUGUGGUUAUUAGUCGAUACUGUAUGAAUAAGGACCGGCUAAUUCCGUGCCAGCCGCCGCGGUAA